AUUGAACGCUGACAGAAUGCUUAACACAUGCAAGUCUUUGGCGAAUCUGUGCUUGCACAGCCUAGCCAAGGCGGACGGGUGAGUAACGCGUAAAGAACUUGCCCUGCAGACAGGGAUAACAGACGGAAACGACUGAUAACACCUGAUACAAUUGCCGGCACGCAUGUGCCUGGCAAUGAAAAGAGAUGCUGCGGGAGAGCUUUGCGUCCUAUUAGCUUGUUGGUGAGGUAACGGCUCACCAAGGCGAUGAUAGGUAGCCGGCCUGAGAGGGUGAACGGCCACAAGGGGACUGAGAUACGGCCCUUACUCCUACGGGAGGCAGCAGUGGGGAAUAUUGGACAAUGGGGGCAACCCUGAUCCAGCAAUUCUGUGUGCACGAAGAAGGUUUUCGGAUUGUAAAGUGCUUUCAGCAGGGAAGAAGAAAGUGACGGUACCUGCAGAAGAAGCGACGGCUAAAUACGUGCCAGCAGCCGCGGUAAUACGUAUGUCGCAAGCGUUAUCCGGAAUUAUUGGGCAUAAAGGGCAUCUAGGCGGCCAGACAAGUCUGGGGUGAAAACUUGCGGCUCAACCGCAAGCCUGCCCUGGAAACUGUUUGGCUAGAGUGCUGGAGAGGUGGACGGAACUGCACGAGUAGAGGUGAAAUUCGUAGAUAUGUGCAGGAAUGCCGAUGAUGAAGAUAGUUCACUGGACGGCAACUGACGCUGAAGUGCGAAAGCUAGGGGAGCGAACAGG
Molecule: ribosomal RNA, 732 nt
Filed under: uncultured Leptotrichia sp.
Lineage: Bacteria; Fusobacteriati; Fusobacteriota; Fusobacteriia; Fusobacteriales; Leptotrichiaceae
Description: bacterial SSU rRNA
Rfam family: Bacterial small subunit ribosomal RNA
Source: RNAcentral